This 261-nucleotide ribosomal RNA is filed under the name uncultured prokaryote. RNAcentral describes it as "partial 16S ribosomal RNA". It matches the Rfam family "Bacterial small subunit ribosomal RNA", at positions 524 to 784 of the family's 1533-position model. The record is from RNAcentral.
UACGUAGGGGGCUAGCGUUAUCUGGAAUUAUUGGGCGUAAAGAGCGCGCAGGUGGUUGAUUAAGUCUGAUGUGAAAGCCCACGGCUUAACCGUGGAGGGUCAUUGGAAACUGGUCGACUUGAGUGCAGAAGAGGGAAGUGGAAUUCCAUGUGUAGCGGUGAAAUGCGUAGAGAUAUGGAGGAACACCAGUGGCGAAGGCGGCUUCCUGGUCUGUAACUGACACUGAGGCGCGAAAGCGUGGGGAGCAAACAGGAUUAGAUA